GGACCAGGUCACUACUAGGGAGACGCCCCCAUGCUUGGGUGCGGGAGGAUUUCAGAGUGAGGAGCCCACACGGGACUUGAGCAGCCUGGAGCAUCAGCCACGUGACGCUGGGAGCCUGGGGGAGAACACAGAGCCCUUGGCUGCCGGAAGGUUCCAGUAUGCCCUUGGCCUGGCAGAUGUCAUCAAUGGCCAGGUGCCUGUAAUACCAGUACUUUGGGAGGCCGAGGAGAGAGGAUCGCUUCAGCUGUGGAGGUCAAGGCUGCAAUGAACCCUGAUCACACCACUGCACUCCCCCUGGGCAAUGGAGCAAGACCCUUUCUCCAAAAAAAAAAAAAAAAAAAAGUCAUCAGUUAGCCUCAUAUCAGCACCUGCUCCCCGACCACCACCACCACCACCACCACCACCACCACCACCAGCCUCUUGGGACUCGAGUGUUCUGGUAAGAGGGGGAGAGGACUGUGGCUUAUCUCAACACUUAGACAUCAUCUCCAGCAUCUCCUUCACCUGCAGCAAGGGGCCAACCCUCAGUACCAGCGUGCGCCACCUCCACUGUUUCCCCAAAGUCGGCCCACUCCCGAGGUGGGGAAGCUCCUAUGGCACUGCAUCCCAUCCCAGAAUAUGCUUAUUACAAAUUAUAAUCACCUGUGUACAAGUCUACCUCCCCAAGGAGACCAUGGGGCCGGCACGUGCCUUUUCCGUUCUUCAUUCAAGUGUUCAUGCCUGUCUCUCUCACCUGAUAAGGCGAGGAGGAGUUUCUGCUCACUAGUCCUUUCCCCGCCCCCGUGGGCCGCAGAGCACCUGACACCAUCCAGAGGUUCCCGUGGCUCCAGGCUUCUCUCCAUGCUACCAGCCAAUUUCUGAGCCCUGUCUCUGAGCCAGACCCGUGCUCGGUAUGUACAUGGAGUGCGUUAUUCCAUCCUUACGACCUAGGAGACAGGAACUGCCAUUCUGUGAGGUAGGGGCCGUGAGCCUCGUUUUACAGAUAAGAAGGAGGAGGCCCAGGAGAGGUUAAGUCGCUCAGCCAAAGUUACGGCAGGGAAGUCCCGGGGCAGGGACUCAAACCCAGGCUGUGUGGCUCUGGCUGCCACACCCUGAGCCCCUAUUCGAGACCGCGCCUAUGACAGCAUCCGUCACACUGUGUUAUAGUUGUUUCUGUCUUCCCCUCCACGGAGCUUCUCCUGGAGGGAGACAGUCGACCAGAAGAGUGAAGAAUGCAGGAACGGCUGAUUGGAAGCGGGGAGCCUUUGUCUUGCUCAGCUGACAUUGUCCACCAGGUGGCAGUCACAGCUCCCGGAUAAAGUCGUCCCUUUUCAUUUGCCCCCUUCCCCUUUAAGAAGGAAACCCUUUUUUCCCCCGACGCCGCCUCCCUCAAUUUUUAUUAUUACCAAGAAGUGAAGUGAGUAGCCUCAACUCAAAACACGACUCCCUGCCUGAGCUUUUUGAAAACGGCACUUGGAGAAGGUGCGUCUCCAACCCCCGUGAGCCGCGGCGCAAGCGGAGAGAAGCAGGCGGGCUUGGGGGUGCGCAGCCUGGGAGCCCAGGAUCCAUGACGUGAGAUGGAAUUUCAGCCCACAAAAGAGGUGACUGGCUCCUCCCUCCCCACCCCUCAUCAAGCAGCUGCAGGAGCCGAGUUAACCAAACGGUGCAUAUUCCUAGUCAUGAAUUCCAUUUGGCCAGCAGCAGGUCUGGGACAUAUGGUCCUCUGAGGACACCUCGGGGAUGGCUGUCAGGAAAGGGCCUACCCACCUCAUCUGCCUGAAAUGCUGUUCCUUCACCCUCCGCUGGUUCUGCCACAGCUUCUGGCAGCUUCCAUUGUGUUCCCAAGAGUGGAAAGGGGACUGAUUCGCGGGGAGUGGGGAGCUGGAACACACCUUGCUCCUAAGUCCCCUAACUUUCAAAAUGCUAACCCCAGGACUGCUCUGUGAAGGAAAGAGGCCCAGGCCAAUUCCAUGUGUUGAGGGGAAGAGAGAUUUCCUUUUUUAUAAUAAAGAAAUUGUGGGCCGGGUGCGGUGGCUCACGCCUCUAAAUUCCAGCACUCUGGGAGGCCGAGGCGCGCGGAUCACCUGAGGUCAAGAGUUGGAGACCAGCCUGGCCAACAUGGCGAAACUCCGUCUCAACUGAAAAUAUAAAAAUUAGCCAGGUGUGGUGGCACACGCCUGUAAUCCCACCUGUUCAGGAGGCUGGGGCGGGAGAAUCGCUUGAACCUGGGAGGCAGAGGUUGCAGUGAACCGAGAUGGCGCCACUGCACUCCAGCCUGGGCGACGGAUCAAGACUCCAUCUCAAAAAAAAAAAAAAAAAAAAACACACAGAAAUUGAUAUAUUUUAAAUGUGUAUGUUAAACAAAUAAAUAAAUGCUAUUAACCCUCAAAG
Molecule: long non-coding RNA, 2370 nt
Organism: Pan troglodytes (chimpanzee)
Lineage: Eukaryota; Metazoa; Chordata; Mammalia; Primates; Hominidae
Exons: 3
Source: RefSeq, a predicted model, not a curated record